This 377-nucleotide unclassified non-coding RNA is filed under the name uncultured Gammaproteobacteria bacterium. RNAcentral describes it as "contains 16S-23S intergenic spacer region". The record is from RNAcentral. Lineage: Bacteria; Pseudomonadati; Pseudomonadota; Gammaproteobacteria.
UCCGGUUUGUCACCGGCAGUCUCCGAUGAGUCCCCAACUUAAUGAUGGCAACAUCGGACAGGGGUUGUGCUCGUUGCGGGACUUAACCCAACAUCUCACGACACGAGCUGACGACAGCCAUGCAGCAUCUGUGCACGGACUCCGAAGAGCGACCCUGAUCUCUCAAGAUCAUCCCGUGCAUGUCAAGCCCAGGUAAGGUUCUUCGCGUUGCGUCGAAUUAAUCCACAUAAUCCACCGCUUGUGCGGGUCCCCGUCAAUUCCUUUGAGUUUUAACCUUGCGGCCGUACUCCCCAGGCGGUCGACUUCACGCGUUAGCUUCGUUACUGAGAGUGUCAAACCCCCAACAACCAGUCGACAUCGUUUAGGGCGUGGACUAC